UACGAAGGGUGCAAGCGUUACUCGGAAUUACUGGGCGUAAAGCGUGCGUAGACGGUUAUUUAAGUCGGAUGUGAAAGCCCCGGGCUCAACCUGGGAAUUGCAUUCGAGACUGAAUAGCUAGGGUACGGUAGAGGGAAGUGGAAUUUCCGGUGUAGCGGUGAAAUGCGUAGAUAUCGGAAGGAACAUCAGUGGCGAAAGCGACUUCCUGGACCAGUACCGACGUUCAGGCACGAAAGCGUGGGGAGCAAACAGG
This 253-nucleotide ribosomal RNA is filed under the name uncultured bacterium. RNAcentral's name for it is "partial 16S ribosomal RNA". It matches the Rfam family "Bacterial small subunit ribosomal RNA", at positions 524 to 776 of the family's 1533-position model. The record is from RNAcentral.